GACGAACGCUGGCGGCGUGCUUAACACAUGCAAGUCGGACGAUGAAGCUAGAGCUUGCUCUGGUGGAUUAGUGGCGAACGGGUGAGUAACACGUGAGUAACCUGCCCCGAACUCUGGGAUAACUGCUGGAAACGGUAGCUAAUACCGGAUAUGACCAAUGAAGGCAUCUUCUGUUGGUGGAAAGAAUUUCGGUUCGGGAUGGACUCGCGGCCUAUCAGCUUGUUGGUGAGGUAACGGCCCACCAAGGCGACGACGGGUAGCCGGCCUGAGAGGGUGAUCGGCCACACUGGGACUGAGACACGGCCCAGACUCCUACGGGAGGCAGCAGUGGGGAAUAUUGCACAAUGGGCGCAAGCCUGGUGCAGCAACGCCGCGUGAGGGAUGACGGCCUUCGGGUUGUAAACCUCUUUUAGCAGGGAAGAAGCGAAAGUGACGGUACCUGCAGAAAAAGCACCGGCUAACUACGUGCCAGCCGCCGCAGUAA
This 484-nucleotide ribosomal RNA is filed under the name uncultured bacterium. RNAcentral describes it as "partial 16S ribosomal RNA". It matches the Rfam family "Bacterial small subunit ribosomal RNA", at positions 28 to 523 of the family's 1533-position model. The record is from RNAcentral.